UAGGCCUAACACAUGCAAGUCGAGCGGGAACUUCGGUUCUAGCGGCGGACGGGUGAGUAAUGCGUAGGAAGCUACCCGACAGAGGGGGAUACCAGUUGGAAACGACUGUUAAUACCGCAUAAUGUCUACGGACCAAAGUGUGGGACCUUCGGGCCACAUGCUGUCGGAUGCGCCUACGUGGGAUUAGCUAGUUGGUGAGGUAAUGGCUCACCAAGGCGACGAUCCCUAGCUGGUUUGAGAGGAUGAUCAGCCACACUGGAACUGAGACACGGUCCAGACUCCUACGGGAGGCAGCAGUGGGGAAUAUUGGACAAUGGGCGAAAGCCUGAUCCAAACGUGCCGCGUGUGUGAAGAAGGCCUUCGGGUGUAAAUAACGGUCAGUAGGGAGGAAGAGUUGAGUGUUAAUA
Molecule: ribosomal RNA, 407 nt
Filed under: uncultured bacterium
Lineage: Bacteria
Description: bacterial SSU rRNA
Rfam family: Bacterial small subunit ribosomal RNA
Source: RNAcentral